Molecule: ribosomal RNA, 1003 nt
Filed under: uncultured Actinomycetaceae bacterium
Lineage: Bacteria; Bacillati; Actinomycetota; Actinomycetes; Actinomycetales; Actinomycetaceae
Description: partial 16S ribosomal RNA
Rfam family: Bacterial small subunit ribosomal RNA
Source: RNAcentral
GACGAACGCUGGCGCCGUGCUUAACACAUGCAAGUCGAACGAUGAAGCGCUGUCUUUUUGGUGUUGUGGAUUAGUGUCGAACGGGUGAGUAAUACGCGGGCAACCUGCGCCUCUGCUUCGGGAUAAGCUUUGGAAACGGGGUCUAAUACCGGAUGUGCCUGUCUGGUCGCAUGUCUGGGCGGGGAAAGAUGUUUUUCGGCGGGGGAUGGGCUCGCGGCCUAUCAGCUUGUUGUGGGGGUGACGGCCUACCAAGGCGUCGACGGGUAGCCGGCCUGAGAGAGUGGUCGGCCACACUAGGACUGAGAUACGGCCCAGACUCCUACGGGGGGGAGCAGUGGGGGGAUAUUGCACAAUGGGCGCACGCGUGAUGCGGCGCCCCCCCCGGGGGGGAUGGAGGCUUUCGGGUUUUAAACCCCUUUUUGGGGCGGGGACAAGGGUUCCGUUUGGGGGGGUUGAGGGUACCCGUCAAAAAAAAGCCGGGGUAACUACGUGUCAGGAGGCCGCGGAAAUACGUGGGGGGGGAGGGUUGUUCCGGAAUUAUUUGGGGGGAAAAAGGGUUCUUAGGGGGCUUGUUCGCGUCUCCUGUGAAAACCCGGGGCUUCAACUCUCCCCCUUUCAGGGGGAACGGGCGGGCUGGGAGUUCCGCAAGGGUUUUUUUUAAUUUCCUGGGGUUACCGGGAAAAAGCGCAGAUUUCCGGGAAGAACCCCUAUGGGGAAGGCGGGCCCCUGGGCCCUCCCUGAGACUUUAGGGGGGAAAAAGGGGGGGGGAAAAAAGGAUUAUAUAUCCCGGGUAUCCAAGGGGCAAAUCCCCAACGGGGGGCCCCCCCGGGGGUUCCCCAUAUUUUAAGGGGGCCCCCCCGCGGGCUCUUUAUUUUUCUCAUUAAGGGGGGGAUUAGCGCGCCCCCCUUCUCUUUUUUUAAAAACGCCCAUCUUUCACAACCCGCGCCUUACCCAAUUACAGCGCCCUGGAAAGAAUUCUCUUUUUUGUAUUUUUGAUUAAUAU